AGAGUUUGAUCCUGGCUCAGAAUCAACGCUGGCGGCGCGCCUAACACAUGCAAGUCGAACGAGAAAGUGGAGCAAUCCAUGAGUACAGUGGCGUACGGGUGAGUAACACGUGGGUGAUCUACCCUUUGGUGGGGAAUAACUCUGGGAAACCGGAGCUAAUACCGCAUAAUCCUGAGAAGGAAAAGCAGCAAUGCGCCGAAGGAGGAGCCCGCGGCCGAUUAGCUAGUUGGUAGGGUAAAAGCCUACCAAGGCAAAGAUCGGUAGCCGGCCUGAGAGGGCACACGGCCACACUGGCACUGAAACGCGGGCCAGACUCCUACGGGAGGCAGCAGUGGGGAAUCUUGCACAAUGGGGGAAACCCUGAUGCAGCGACGCCGCGUGAGCGAUGAAGCCCUUCGGGGUGUAAAGCUCUUUCGGCAGGGAAGAUUAUGACGGUACCUGCAGAAGCAGCUGCGGCUAACUACGUGCCAGCAGCCGCGGUAAUACGUAGGCAGCAAGCGUUGUUCGGAGUUACUGGGCGUAAAGGGUGUGUAGGCGGCUCCUUAAGUUUGGUGUGAAAUCUCCCGGCUCAACCGGGAGGGUGCGCCGAAUACUGAGGGGCUAGAGUGCGGGAGAGGAAAGUGGAAUUCCUGGUGUAGCGGUGAAAUGCGUAGAUAUCAGGAGGAACACCGGUGGUGUAGACGGCUUUCUGGACCGUAACUGACGCUGAAACACGAAAGCGUGGGUAGCAAACAGGAUUAGAUACCCUGGUAGUCCACGCCCUAAACGAUGCAUAUUUGGUGUGGGUCAUUCAGUUGAUCCGUGCCGGAGCUAACGCGUUAAAUAUGCCGCCUGGGGAGUACAGUCGCAAGGCUGAAACUCAAAGGAAUUGACGGGGGCCCGCACAAGCGGUGGAGCAUGUGGUUUCAAUUCGACGCAACGCGAAGAACCUUACCUGGGCUCGAACGGCUGGUUAACGGCGGUGGAAACAUCGCUACCGA
This 980-nucleotide ribosomal RNA is filed under the name uncultured bacterium. RNAcentral describes it as "bacterial SSU rRNA". It matches the Rfam family "Bacterial small subunit ribosomal RNA", at positions 8 to 1018 of the family's 1533-position model. The record is from RNAcentral.